This is a non-coding RNA of Amborella trichopoda, 86 nucleotides long. The record is from Rfam. Lineage: Eukaryota; Viridiplantae; Streptophyta; Magnoliopsida; Amborellales; Amborellaceae.
GGAGAGAUGACCGAGUGGUUCAAUGCAUAGCAUUGGAACUGCUAUGUAGGCUUUGUUUACCGAGGGUUAGUAUCCCUCUUUUUCCA